AUAAUUAGUUAUAUAUUAUUUAUUAGUUACAAUCAAUACAAUAAUUGAACACAAACGUCCCCAACCCCAAGCCAACCAUCACACUAUCACCACGACCACGAUCAUGAUCAUGACCACCACCCUCAAUGUCCCUGCCACGUCCAGCGCCUCCACCUGCACCACCAACAAAAAUCACCCCAAACUUCCAACACCACCACUCCAACAAUAAGAAUCAAAACCAACACCUCACCACCACCACCUGUAGCACCACCAUCACGACCUAUACCACUACCACCGCAACCUACUACCGCACCAGCAAUCGGCAAAAUGGUCUCUCCACCACCAAGGUCCCAAGAGUCCCUACCACUACCACCCUCACUAUUGUGGCCACUGCCAGAUCCACCAUCAUCACCAGCAAUUCUACCUGCACAAUGAACAAAAGCCAUCUCAAACCCCCCACACCACCAAACCCUCCCCAAACCUCCACUACCACCACUACAAGUAGCAUCAAUACCACCAACACCACCACUAAAUCCCAAGCAGAUUCACCACCACUGUAGCACCUCAUCACCACUACGAUGAUAGCAUGAAAACCCACCAAAAGGCUAAUCUAAUCAGAGCUGAGGACGACGCCACUUCUACUGAAAACCACCCCAUGCUGCUGUAUCGUGAUGCCGGAGAUGAGCAGUCGCUCUCAGAUCUUCGAAUAUGGGGAUGACGCUACCUGUCGUUUCGUCUGUGUUCCAAUGGUGGUUAUGUGUUUUAAAAGAAAAAGAAGAGAGAAUGUAGCCCACGUUUGGCCCCAUUUUUUUGAAAUGAAAAUUGGUGAAAUAGUGUUUUCUUGAAAAAUGAGUAAUUGAAAAAUAAGGGAAAUGUUUGAUUUACGUGUAAUAUUACUUUAUGAAAAAUUGU
RNAcentral lists this long non-coding RNA (891 nucleotides) under Olea europaea subsp. europaea. Lineage: Eukaryota; Viridiplantae; Streptophyta; Magnoliopsida; Lamiales; Oleaceae. The record is from RNAcentral.